Molecule: ribosomal RNA, 440 nt
Filed under: uncultured bacterium
Lineage: Bacteria
Description: bacterial SSU rRNA
Rfam family: Bacterial small subunit ribosomal RNA
Source: RNAcentral
CCUACGGGUGGCUGCAGUGGGGAAUUUUGCACAAUGGGGGAAACCCUGAUGCAGCAACGCCGCGUGGAGGAUGAAGUCCCUUGGGAUGUAAACUCCUUUCGACCGGGACGAUAAUGACGGUACCGGAAGAAGAAGCACCGGCUAACUCUGUGCCAGCAGCCGCGGUAAUACAGAGGGUGCUAGCGUUGCUCGGAAUCACUGGGCGUAAAGCGCACGUAGGCGGCUUCUUAAGUCAGGGGUGAAAUCCUGGAGCUCAACUCCAGAACUGCCUUUGAUACUGGGAGGCUUGAGUCCGGGAGAGGUGAGUGGAACUGCGAGUGUAGAGGUGAAAUUCGUAGAUAUUCGCAAGAACACCAGUGGCGAAGGCGGCUCACUGGCCCGGUACUGACGCUGAGGUGCGAAAGCGUGGGGAGCAAACAGGAUUAGAUACCCCUGUAGUC